This 447-nucleotide unclassified non-coding RNA is filed under the name Hevea brasiliensis (rubber tree). The record is from RNAcentral. Lineage: Eukaryota; Viridiplantae; Streptophyta; Magnoliopsida; Malpighiales; Euphorbiaceae.
GUGUCUCGGCCAAGCACAAACCAGGUAUUUUCCCUUGUAUUGUCUCAUGAUGGAAUUCCAAACACAUAUACCACAGUUUUUAAUUAUUUGUUUCUUUUCUCACAUAGUUUUUGAAGUAUUUGACUCAUAAAAAUUUUGGUAAUUACCCAAUUUUGUAUUUGUUGCCAUGAAAUCAGCACUGAAUAGCUCCAAAUGAAAUUGUUCAAGAAUCCAAUAGAGCACAAAUUUAGUUGGAGGGCUCAAUAACAAAAACUCAAAAAGUUCUAGGGCUUUGUAAUGGAUUACUAGAUUUUGCCUAAAUUAUAUCCUAGGUUUGUGUCAUAUCAUCAACAAGAGGACAUGGACCACCCUUAAAAGAGAGAUGGUGGUGGAAUGAAGAAGUACAAAAGGCAGUGAAGAGGAAAAGAUAAUGGUAUAAGAAAUGACCUAAAUGUGAUAAUAAUGAGG